RNAcentral lists this ribosomal RNA (1248 nucleotides) under Lactococcus lactis. RNAcentral describes it as "bacterial SSU rRNA". It matches the Rfam family "Bacterial small subunit ribosomal RNA", at positions 1 to 1285 of the family's 1533-position model. Lineage: Bacteria; Bacillati; Bacillota; Bacilli; Lactobacillales; Streptococcaceae. The record is from RNAcentral.
UUUGAGGUUUUGAUCCUGGCUCCAGGCACGAACGCCAUGGCGGCGUGCUAAUACUUGCAAGUGCGAUGGCAAUUGUGCUUGCACAAUUUGAGAGCAGCGAUUUUUACGCGGAGUAACGCGUGGGAAUUGCUUUGAGCGGGAGCAACAUUUGGAAACGAUGUAAUACCGCGCUAACAACUUUAACUCGGAGUUUUAAGUUGAAGAUGCAAAUUGCAGCCUCAAAGUUGUCCGCGUUGUAUUAGCUAGUUGUGAGGUAAGGCUCACCAAGCGAUGCUCACUUGCCGACCUGCGAGGGUAUCGGCCAAUUGGGACUGAGACACGGCCCAAAACUCCUCGGGAGGCAGCAGUAGGAAUCUCUCGGCGGACGAAAGUCUGACGAGCAACGCCGCUGUGAGAAGAAGGUUCGGAUCGUAAACGUGUUGGUAGAGAAGAACGUUGGUGAGAGUGGAAAGUCAUCAAUGACGGUACUACCGGAAAGGCGGCAAUACGUGCCGGCAGCCGCGGUAAUACGUAGUCCCGCAGCGUGUCCGGAUUUAUUGGGCGUAAGCGAGCCGCGGUGGUUUAUUAGUACUGGCGUAAAAGUCAGUGGCUAACCAUUUAUGCAUUGGAAACUGGUAGACUUGAGUGCACGGAGAGUGAGUGAAUUCCAUGGUGUAGCACGUUGAGAUGCGUAGGUGAUAUAUGGAGGAAAAGCGUGGCGGAACGCGCUCUCUGGCCUGUAACUGACACUGCAGGCUCGAAGCGUGGGAGCAACGUAUUAGAUACCCUGGUGCCACGCCGAAACGAUGAGUGCUAGAUGUAGGAGCUAUAAUUCUCUGUAUCGCAGCCUAACGCAAAAGCAUCCGCCUGGGAGUACGACCGCAAGGUGAAAACUCAAAGGACUUGACGGGGCCCGCACAAGCGGUGGAGCCUUGGUUUUAAUUCGAGCCACGCGGAAAGAACCUUACCAGUUUACAUACUCUGCUUUCCUAGAGAUAGCGGAAGUUCCUUCGGGGACACGGGAUACAGGUGGUUGCAAUGGUAGUCGUCAGCUCGUGUCGUGAGAUGUUGGGUCUAAGUCCGAACGCGCGCACCCUUUGUUAUUGCCUCAUUAAGUUGCCGCACUCUAACGAGACACUUGCCGGUGAUAACCGGACAGGAAGUGGGGCAUGACGAUCAAAUCAUUCCAGUGCCCGCUUAUGACGUCUGGGCUUACACACGUGUACCAAUGGAUGUCAACGUACAGCCCAGGAUGCGACGAGCCGACAU